GUCUAUGGCCAUGCCAUCUUGAACGUGCCCGAUCUUGUCUGAUCUCAGAAGCUAAGCAGGGCUGGGCCUGAUUAGUACUUGGAUAGGAGACCACUUAGGAAUACCAGGUGCUGUAGGUG
This 119-nucleotide ribosomal RNA is filed under the name Pteropus alecto (black flying fox). Lineage: Eukaryota; Metazoa; Chordata; Mammalia; Chiroptera; Pteropodidae. The record is from RNAcentral.